RNAcentral lists this ribosomal RNA (1485 nucleotides) under uncultured Bordetella sp. Its description in RNAcentral is "partial 16S-23S ribosomal RNA intergenic spacer". It matches the Rfam family "Bacterial small subunit ribosomal RNA". Lineage: Bacteria; Pseudomonadati; Pseudomonadota; Betaproteobacteria; Burkholderiales; Alcaligenaceae. The record is from RNAcentral.
UUCGAUUCUGGCUCAGAUUGAACGCUGGCAGGAUGCUUUACACAUGCAAGUCGAACGGCAGCACGGACUUCGGUCUGGUGAGUGGCGAACGGGUGAGUAAUGUAUCGGAACGUGCCCUAGUAGCGGGGGAUAACUACGCGAAGCGUAGCUAAUACCACCUUGUUGCCUUGAGGAAAGCGGAGGACCUUCAGGCCUCACACUAUUAGAGCAGCCGAUAUCGGAUUAGCUAGUUGGUGGGGUAACGGCUCACCAAGGCGACGAUCCGUAGCUGGUUUGAAGGACAGCCAGCCACACUGGGACUGAGACGGCCCAGACUCCUACAGGAGGCAGCAGUGGGGGUACGGACAAUGGGGGAAACCUGAUCCAGCCAUCCCGCGUGUGCGAUGAAGGCCUUCGGGUUGUAAAGCACUUUUGGCAGGAAAGAAACGGCGCGGGAUAAUACGUGCAACUGACCGUACCACUGCAGAAUAAGCACCGGCUAACUACGUGCCAACAGCCAUGACGGUAAUACGUAGGGUGCAAGCGUUAAUCGGAAUUACUGGGCGUAAAGCGUGCGCGGGCGGUUCGGAAAGAAAGAUGUGAAAUCCCAGAGCUUAACUUUGGAACUUCACAUUUUUAACUACCGAGCUAGAGUGUGUCAGAGGGAGGUGGAAUUCCGCGUGUAGCAGUGAAAUGCGUAGAUAUGCGGAAGACACCGAUAGCGAAAGUGGCAGCCUCCUGGGAUAACACUGACGCUCAUGCACAGCGUGGGGAGCAAACAGGAUUAGAAUGCCCUGGUAGUCCACGCCCUAAGCGAUAUCAAACCUUCAGCUGUUGUUGGGGCCUUCCGGGCCUUGGUAGCGCAGCCUGCGCGUGAAGUUGACCGCCUGGGAAAUACGGUCGCAAGAUUAAAAACUCAAAGGAAUUGACGGGGACCCGCACAAGCGGUGGAUGAUGGAUUAAUUCGAUGCAACGCGAAAAACCUUACCUACCCUUGACAUGUCUGGAAUCCCGAAGAGAUUUGGAGUGCUCGCAAGAGAACCGGAACACAGGUGCUGCAUGGCUGUCGUCAGCUCUCGUGUCGUGAGAUGUUACUGGUUAAGUCCGCAACGAGCGCAGCCCUUGUCAUUAGUUGCUACGAAAGGGCACUCCUAAUGAGACUGCCGGUGACAAACCGGAGGAAGGUGAGGAUGACGUCAGAGUCUCAUGGCCCUUAUGGUGUUGGGGCUUCACACGUCAUACAAUGGUCGGGACAGAGGGUCGCCAACCCGCGAGGAGCCAAUCCCAGAAACCCGAUCGUAGUCCGGAUCGCAGUCUGCAACUCGACUGCGUGAAGUCGGAAUCGCUAGUAAUCGCGGAUCAGCAUGUCGCGGUGAAUACGUUCGGGUCUUGCUUACCGCCCGUCACACCAUGAAUUGGGUUUUACCAGAAGUAGUUAGCCUAACCGUAAGGAGGGCGAUUACCACGGUAAGGAUUCAUGACUGGGGUGAAGUCGUAACAAGGUAA